RNAcentral lists this ribosomal RNA (801 nucleotides) under Staphylococcus haemolyticus. RNAcentral's name for it is "bacterial SSU rRNA". It matches the Rfam family "Bacterial small subunit ribosomal RNA", at positions 64 to 846 of the family's 1533-position model. The record is from RNAcentral. Lineage: Bacteria; Bacillati; Bacillota; Bacilli; Caryophanales; Staphylococcaceae.
CGGCGGCAGGCAAGGAGCUUGCUCCUUUGACGUUAGCGGCGGACGGGGAGUAACACGUGGGUAACCUACCUAUAAGACUGGGAUAACUUCGGGAAACCGGAGCUAAUACCGGAUAAUAUUUCGAACCGCAUGGUUCGAUAGUGAAAGAUGGUUUUGCUAUCACUUAUAGAUGGACCCGCGCCGUAUUAGCUAGUUGGUAAGGUAACGGCUUACCAAGGCGACGAUACGUAGCCGACCUGAGAGGGGGAUCGGCCACACUGGAACUGAGACACGGUCCAGACUCCUACGGGAGGCAGCAGUAGGGAAUCUUCCGCAAUGGGCGAAAGCCUGACGGAGCAACGCCGCGUGAGUGAUGAAGGUCUUCGGAUCGUAAAACUCUGUUAUUAGGGAAGAACAUACGUGUAAGUAACUAUGCACGUCUUGACGGUACCUAAUCAGAAAGCCACGGCUAACUACGUGCCAGCAGCCGCGGUAAUACGUAGGUGGCAAGCGUUAUCCGGAAUUAUUGGGCGUAAAGCGCGCGUAGGCGGUUUUUUAAGUCUGAUGUGAAAGCCCACGGCUCAACCGGGAGGGUCAUUGGAAACUGGAAAACUUGAGUGCAGAAGAGGAAAGUGGAAUUCCAUGUGUAGCGGUGAAAAUGCGCAAGAUAUGGAGGAACACCAGUGGCGAAGGCGACUUUCUGGUCUGUAACUGACGCUGAUGUGCGAAAGCGUGGGGAUCAAACAGGAUUAGAUACCCUGGGUAGUCCACGCCGUAAACGAUGAGUGCUAAGUGUUUAGGGGGUUUCCGCCCCCUUAGUGC